GCCCAGACUCCUACGGGAGGCAGCAGUCGGGAAUAUUGCGCAAUGGAGGAAACUCUGACGCAGUGACGCCGCGUAUAGGAAGAAGGUCUUCGGAUUGUAGACUAUUGUCGUUAGGGAAGAAAAAGGACAGUACCUAAGGAGGAAGCUCCGGCUAACUACGUGCCAGCAGCCGCGGUAAUACGUAGGGAGCAAGCGUUAUCCGGAUUUAUUGGGUGUAAAGGGGGCGUAGACGGGAUAAUAAGUUAGUUGUGAAAUCCCUCGGCUCAACUGAGGAACUGCAACUAAAACUGUUAUUCUUGAGUGUGGGAGAGGAAAGCGGAAUUCCUAGUGUAGCGGUGAAACGCG
Molecule: ribosomal RNA, 345 nt
Filed under: uncultured bacterium
Lineage: Bacteria
Description: partial 16S ribosomal RNA
Rfam family: Bacterial small subunit ribosomal RNA
Source: RNAcentral